RNAcentral lists this ribosomal RNA (506 nucleotides) under uncultured bacterium. RNAcentral describes it as "partial 16S ribosomal RNA". It matches the Rfam family "Bacterial small subunit ribosomal RNA", at positions 29 to 523 of the family's 1533-position model. The record is from RNAcentral.
AGUGAACGCUGGCGGUAGGCCUAACACAUGCAAGUCGAACGGCAGCACAGGAGAGCUUGCUCUCUGGGUGGCGAGUGGCGGACGGGUGAGGAAUACAUCGGAAUCUACUUUUUCGUGGGGGAUAACGUAGGGAAACUUACGCUAAUACCGCAUACGACCUACGGGUGAAAGCAGGGGAUCUUCGGACCUUGCGCGAGUGAAUGAGCCGAUGUCGGAUUAGCUAGUUGGCGGGGUAAAGGCCCACCAAGGCGACGAUCCGUAGCUGGUCUGAGAGGGAGAUCAGGCACACUGGAGCUGAGGCACGGUCCAGACUCCUACGCGGAGCAGCAGUGGGGAAUAUUGGACAAUGGGCGCAAGGCUGAUUCAGCCAUACCGCGUGGGUGAAGAAGGCCUUCGGGUUGUAAAGCCCUUUUGUUGGGAAAGAAAUCCAGCUGGUUAAUACCCGGUUGGGAUGACGGUACCCAAAGAAUAAGCACCGGCUAACUUCGUGCCAGCCGCCGCCGUAA